AUUCCAGCUUUUUCUGCCAACGUGGGCUGCACCAAGAAGCUGAGACGGGUAUUAAAAGGGUGAGGACAAUUUGUUUUGAAUCCCCUUUCAGCCUUUUGCGUCCUCCGCUUCCUAAGUUUACAGGAUCCAGGAGGCCCCAAACAAGGAAGCCCGCUGUUGAGAGUAGCCUCGGGUUUUGUGCGCGGACUAGGUCGCCCUAUUUAUCGAUUAAUACCGGCCUGAAGAAAGUCUCGUCCACUGGGACUGACUGCAAUUCCCAGCGGACCCACAAGACACCCUCCCCCUCCCCCGCCCCCGCUGGGGCCUGCAGACAGUCUCGGCUGGAAGGCCAAAGCUUUCUCGGACUACGUUAACCAAAAGGCAAAGCGCGGACAUACUUCCGCUCCCUUUUCAAUAAAUGCGGGUGCAUUCGGAACAGUC
Molecule: long non-coding RNA, 420 nt
Organism: Mustela lutreola (European mink)
Lineage: Eukaryota; Metazoa; Chordata; Mammalia; Carnivora; Mustelidae
Exons: 2
Source: RefSeq, a predicted model, not a curated record